GAUAGAAGGGUGGUGGUCAGACCGCAAAUCUGUGUUUUUGCCUGAUAGAAGGGUGGUGGUCAGACCAAAAACAAAACGAAGAAAAAGAAAUAAGAUCGAAUUUGUAGCUUCAAUGGGUACAGGUUCGUAAGUUUUCUCCUUUCUGCUGCUAUUGAUUUUGUUAGUUUUUGUGUGGUUUGGUUUUUGAUUGGGUCUUUUGUUGUCGGCGGUUUUGAAUUUUUAUGGGUCUUUGAUUGGGUAUUUUGCUGUGAGGAAGAAGAAGACCUGCGCUAGCUGCUAUAUCCUGUCAGUAUAUAGGCGAAUCGAGCUUCAGCUUCGCUGUUCUGUGUGAUCAACUUUUUCCAUCAACGUCAACGAUCGUGAAAGCUUGGUGGGAUUUCGAUUUGGUUAACGCUUUUCUAAGGCGUCAAAUUCUUGAAGCAUCAAAUGAUGAAGAGGUUGUCUUACUCUCAGAGAUGUUUAGGUGAAAAGCGAAAAGCAAACACUAAUGAAUUGUUUUAGCGUUAGCAUGAAUGGGAUUCUCUUUUCUUUUGGCUUACACCUUUGUGCAUAUAUACUUAGAGGAACUAGAACAACUAUUUUUUAGAAGAUUGUCUGGCAGCUACUGUAACUAAGUUAAACUAAGAUAGCCAAUUUGUCAGCAGCUGCUAUCGAUAUUGAAAGUGAUGAUAUUGUACUGUUUUGUCGUAUAUAUGCUGUCCUUUUA
Molecule: long non-coding RNA, 706 nt
Organism: Rosa chinensis
Lineage: Eukaryota; Viridiplantae; Streptophyta; Magnoliopsida; Rosales; Rosaceae
Exons: 2
Source: RefSeq, a predicted model, not a curated record